RNAcentral lists this ribosomal RNA (242 nucleotides) under Unio crassus. Its description in RNAcentral is "partial large subunit ribosomal RNA". It matches the Rfam family "Eukaryotic large subunit ribosomal RNA", at positions 83 to 315 of the family's 3401-position model. Lineage: Eukaryota; Metazoa; Mollusca; Bivalvia; Unionida; Unionidae. The record is from RNAcentral.
GUAACGGCGAGUGAAGAGGGAAAAGCUCAGCUUCGAAAUCCACGGCCUUGCGCUGUCGGGAACUGUGUUGUAUAGGAAGCCUACUUGUCGGCCUGUUCGGGUACCCAAGUCCUCCUGAUCGUGGCCUCUCCCAUAGCGGGUGUCAGGCCCAUAAAGGCACCCGACUGCGUCGGCUUGGAGCUUCCUCGGAGUCGGGUUGUUUGGGAAUGCAGCCCAGAGUGGGUGGUAAACUCCAUCUAAUG